GCUUCCAAGCUAGUAUUCAGAUGGCUCCUUACGAAGCACUAUACGGGCGGAAGUGUAGGUCGCCGAUCGGUUGGUUCGAGGUCGGGGAAGCAGAGUUGCUAGGUCCUAACUUAGUCCAGCAAGCAAUGGAAAAGGUAAAACUUAUUAGAGACCGGCUGCGUACAGCACAAAGUCGGCAAAAGUCUUAUGCAGAUGUUCGACGACGAGACUUAGAGUUUGAUGUAGAAGAUUGGGUUUUCCUGAAAGUAUCGCCUAUGAAGGGCGUCAUGCGAUUUGGAAAGAAGGGGAAGCUCAGCCCCAGGUAUGUUGGACCGUAUAAGAUUAUUCGGAGGAUUGGUAGGGUGGCGUACGAGCUUGAUUUGCCUUUAGAAUUGGAAGCAGUCCAUCCUGUGUUUCAUGUAUCUAUGUUGCGGAAGUGCAUUGGAGAUCCUUCACGUAUUACGCCCAUUGAGGAUAUUCACAUUGCUGAAGACUUAUCUUAUGCAGAGGUACCAGUAGUUAUUUUAGAUCGGCAGGUAAGGAAGCUUCGAACUAAAGAAGUGGCUUCCGUGAAACUGUUAUGGCGAAAUAACAACAUCGAGGAAAUGACCUGGGAAGCUGAGGAGGAAAUGAAGAAGAAGUACCCCCACCUAUUUACGAAUUAAGGUGAGUCGCAUUUAAAUAAUUGCCAAUUAUUUCUUUACAGCAACUUAAUUGGAUUUUAAAUGACUUGAAAGUGCAAUUUAAAUUUUUUUUUAUUGCGAGAUAGCUAUACGAAGCCUAGUAGUUGGAAUCUUCAGAAGUGUUGUAAUCGUUUUACUUUAAUCGAAAGAGAAGUGUUGCUGCAGUUCGCAUUGUGUUACCUUGUUUGGGUUGAUUUUACGCCUUUCAUAGGUAAUCGAAAUAGCUUAGAGAGUUAUCAAUUGACCCAAUAUGGAAAAAUAGUCGAGAGACAUACUUCCAAAGAUCAUUCAUUCACUGUAUUUUUGCAUGUGUUCAUAGGGCAUGUCAUUAGGUUGGUUAACGGAACUCUCAUUCAUUCGGAAGAAGAAUUUAAAUCCUCAAGAUAGCCUAAUCAUCUAUUGAAAUCGAAAGAGUCAAUAGAAGUUAAGAGUGAACUUAGCACGGAGCUACCCAGAAUAAUAGUUGAUCGAAUAUCUUGUCACAGCCCUUACUUCGCACCUUGAUAUUCAAUCGUUGCUACUUAGUCACUAAAUUUUCAUUACUUUCUCACAAUCGAUAAUCUUAGUUUUUAUUAUUAGUCGGUAAUAACUUAAAUCAAAGGUUUAUUUCCUAGAUAGUGUUAAGCUGAAGAUUUAUUAGAACAUUAUUUAUCACAAUCCCUGAGGAGACAAUUUAAUACUAUACUAUCUUUGACUAGCGAGCCUAAGUUUUAUACACCGGUUUUGCGCUCGUCAAAUUUUGGUGCUGUUGUCAGGGAUUGGCGAUUAAUAUUGUUUGAAAUAAUUUUCGGUGCUAAUUCAGGAAUAAUUUUUUUUAUUUUAUUUUCCUUUUUACGCUCUUCUUAUCUGUGUGCAGGCAACAAGUUAAGUUUAGUGGUGUAUGAUUCGAUCCUCUUCCAAGGAAUUGGUGCCAUACGAUCCAGAAUUAGACAAGCACCUGCGAUUGAGGGGGAGAAAGAAUCGAGCACAGCGUUAUUGGGUCAGACUUCGACUCAAAUUACAAUGGUGAACAACAAAAAGGACGUGAACCUAGAUGUGAGAGAGGCAGCUCAAUAACAGGAUGCACGGUUAGCAGCAGAAGCAGCCUGUAGAGCUGCGGAUGAAACAAUCGGCGAAGAUCGAAGGUUCAAUCUCAACUGAACCAUGAUCGAAGAUGAAUUUGAUAAUGCAGCUCCCUGGCAUGGGAGGUCUCUAGGAGAUUAUGACUGACCGGUAUACAACCAACAACAAUCUAGUGUGAGGCCCACACCCAUUGAUGCCAACAAUUUUGAACUCAAGCAGAGAGUCAUCCAGACCAUUCAGAACAACUGCAUUUUCAGAGGCAAACCCAAUGAAGAUCCCAACAACCAUCUGAUGGACUUCGAUAAAAUUAUGAACACAUUCCGCUGCAAUGGAGCAUCAUAUGAUGCAAUCUAUCUCAGAGCACUCCCUUUCUCACUUAAGGAUGAUGCAAAGCAGUGGUUGAGAAGUCUACCCACAGGUUCAAUCCGCACGUGGGAGGAGAUGACUACCAAGUUCUUAGAAAAAUAUUUCUCUACUGCUAAGACUGGACGGAUGAGGAAGGAGAUUCACAAUUUCAGCCAAGGUGAAGGGGAGACAGUGUUCGAGGCACGGGAAAGAUUUAAGGAGCUAUUGCGGAGGUGCCCUCAUGACGGAAUGCAGCAAUGGAUGCAACUCCAAGAUUUCUGGGGCGGGUUAAACCCGUCAUCAAGGAAAUUGUUGAAUAGUGCGGUUGCAGGUCCUCUGAUGAAGAAAACUCCAGAAGAGAUUGUCACACUUCUGAAUGAACUAUCUAAAGACGCAGAACAAUGGUCCACUGACCAAGGGGAUCGAAGAAGAUCAGCGGCGAUGCACCAAGUAGAAUCGUCUGGAUGUGUUCCAGCGCAAAGGAGGUGUGAGAAAAUAUAAGCAUCCAGUCCAACACUAGCCGUAUAGAUAUUACCAGUGAAUGAUUCAUGAUCAAUUUCUUUUAACCAAGGUCCUACGUGAUAAUAAUUACUAACUUAAUAUGAGAUCUUAUCGUUUGAAUAUGGGACGACUUUGGACAGUAUAGAGCAGAUAAGGGUUCAUUAAAGGAAAAAAAAUAUUUUGAAGGUUUCUCCCAUGAAAGAGGUUAUAAUAUGUCGUAAAAAUGAUACAUUCAUGACCAUCGACAUAUUAUUCAUCUCAAGGAAGUGAAACUAAUUGAAAAUAUGACUUACGAGGAAGGUUCAAUAUCUAGUGCUGAUAGACAAGUGUGAUAACUAAGGUCGAAAAAGGUUGCUUAAGUGAAAAUAUUGUGGCGCAUAUCCAAUUGAGAAUGCUAAGUGAGAGUACGAGACAAACAUGCGAAACAUGUACCAUAGUUGUUUGAGAAAUCAGGUACACUUUUUAACUCGUUCGAGGAGGAAUGCUUGUUUAAGUGGGGGAGAAUGUAAUAGUUGAAAAUUUUAUACAUACUUAUUAAUGAGUUUUAAAAUUUAUUAAAUAGUUAGUGGGCCUAAUUUAUAAUUAUACAUGCUAGUGAGCAUGGAAGUAAUUUUAAAUAAUAAUAAUAAUAAUAAGGAUAAAAGGAGUGGGCCCAAAACCUACAUCUUAUGCAACUACAUGUUUUAGGACUUACAAAUUUAAAUAGGGAAAAUAUUGAUUUCCUGUUUCAUUAGAAGAUACAAUAAUAUAGGGAAGAAUAAUGAAGGCACUGUGGCGGUGGAAACAAUUAGUGGGAUUUUACUACUCUUUGGAAAGCUUCUUGGCGGAAUUUUUGCGGAAGGAAAGGGCUAUAAAAUCAGAUUGAGGCCAUUGGAGGCCGUUUGAUUGGUGUUCUAGACGUUGCAAGGUUGGGGAACUUUCCGUUAGCGAGAUACUAUUACGGACGAUAGAGCUAGUGGCUGAAGAGUUCGUUCGGGCCGAUUUUGUUGCUGAGGUGAGCCACCGCAUUGUUCGUGGAGGCUAUCACUGUAUCUUUAUCUAGUUUAUGUCGGUUAUUUCCUUUUCUUUAGGGUUUGCAUACCCGCCAAUUUAACUCAUGUCACUCUGUUAGAUACUCCAUGAUUUUAGUGUGGGAUUUGAGUUAGAGUAUUAUUAUUUGAGUGACCGUUGGUCUUUCUA
Molecule: non-coding RNA, 3749 nt
Organism: Nicotiana tabacum (common tobacco)
Lineage: Eukaryota; Viridiplantae; Streptophyta; Magnoliopsida; Solanales; Solanaceae
Source: RefSeq, a predicted model, not a curated record